UCCGAGUUGACCCCGGCAGUCUCCCAUGAGUCCCCACCAUCACGUGCUGGCAACAUGGAACGAGGGUUGCGCUCGUUGCGGGACUUAACCCAACAUCUCACGACACGAGCUGACGACAACCAUGCACCACCUGUGCACGGCCCUUACGGACCCUCCAUCUCUGGAGGUUUUCCGGCGAUGUCAAACCCAGGUAAGGUUCUUCGCGUUGCAUCGAAUUAAUCCGCAUGCUCCGCCGCUUGUGCGGGCCCCCGUCAAUUCCUUUGAGUUUUAGCCUUGCGGCCGUACUCCCCAGGCGGGGCACUUAAUGCGUUAGCUACGGCACGGAUCCCGUCAAUAAGGACCCACACCUAGUGCCCAACGUUUACGGCGUGGACUAC
RNAcentral lists this unclassified non-coding RNA (377 nucleotides) under uncultured Actinomycetes bacterium. Its description in RNAcentral is "uncultured actinobacterium contains 16S-23S intergenic spacer region". The record is from RNAcentral. Lineage: Bacteria; Bacillati; Actinomycetota; Actinomycetes.